UACGGAGGGAGCUAGCGUUGUUCGGAAUUACUGGGCGGAAAGCGCGCGUAGGCGGCUUGGUAAGUUAGAGGGGAAAGCCCGGAGCUCAACUCCGGAACUGCCUUUAAAACUGCAUCGCUUGAAUCCAGGAGAGGUGAGUGGAAUUCCGAGUGUAGAGGUGAAAUUCGUAGAUAUUCGGAAGAACACCAGUGGCGAAGGCGGCUCACUGGACUGGUAUUGACGCUGAGGUGCGAAAGCGUGGGGAGCAAACAGG
RNAcentral lists this ribosomal RNA (253 nucleotides) under uncultured bacterium. RNAcentral describes it as "partial 16S ribosomal RNA". It matches the Rfam family "Bacterial small subunit ribosomal RNA", at positions 524 to 776 of the family's 1533-position model. The record is from RNAcentral.